UGGUUGAUCCUGCCAGUUGUCAUAUGCUUGUUUCAAGGACUAAGCCAUGCAAAUGUCAGAGUACUUGCUUUUGCGAGAGAUCUGUGUACAGCUCAUUAAACGGUUUAUUGUCUGCCCAACCGAGAAGUGCCUUGUGCCCUUCCGAUGGGAUAACGAUUUCGAAAUGAAUCGCUAAUACCUGUAAGACAAACCUUGCACCGUUCCAACAUCCUUGUGGGAAACUGCUUGGGUGUGGUGUGGGGUGCAAUUCGCCGGAACAAAAACCCACGCCUUCACCGGGCAGUUGUAAUUGUUGAGGCAGGCGAAUGUUGCGAAAGCACCUUUUGGUGCGAUGUUGGAUGAAUUUACCACCUAUCAGGUUGAAGGUAGUAUAGUUGACUACCUUGCCAUUGACGGGUAACGGAGAAUUGGGGUUCGAUUCCGGAGAGGGUGCCUGAGAAACGGCAACCAUCACCACGGUGAGCAGCAGGCGCGCAAAUUGCCCAAUGCUAAUACUAGCGAGGCAGCGACGAAAAAUAAUAACUCUGUUGCACUUCGUGUAUCAGAGAUUGUAAUGGAUUGUAUCUAGUACACACUGCUGAGUAUCAAUUGAAGGGCAAGUCUGGUGCCAGCAGCCGCGGUAAUUCCAGCUUCAAGAGCAUAUAUGAACGUUGUUGCGGUUAAAAAGCCCGUAGUUGGAUUUGAGGAUGUCGCUUGUGAUCACGCCUCAUGAGUACUUCGGUGCUUUUGGGAUCACGUGAACACAUUUAGGCGGUGUUCUUACUUAUGCGGGACUGGUCGUUGGUCAGAACCAUCUUAACCGGUGGUGAAGACGCCUACGGAGUCAUCAUGCUCCAAAAGACGCGCCCGCAGAUGUCACUGUGAGUAAAACAGAGUGUUCAAGGCAACCGACUUGCUCGGUUGAAUGUUAAAGCAUGGAAUGACAAGGGAUCGACCACUUUUGGCCUCUUUUUGUUGGUUUUCAAGCCUCAGUGCGGUAACCUUGUGCAGGGACCUCCGGCUUGGCUGCGUGCUUGCACCGCCUUGUCGAGCCCUCGCACCUACGGGAUCAACAGGAGCACAGGGGGCCAUGAGUACUGGAGGGUGAGCGGUGAAAUGCUGAGACCCCUCCAAGACUGACAUCAGCGAAAGCACUUGGCUAUUGUGCUUUCAUUAAUCAAGGACGAGAGAUAGGGGAUCGAAGAGGAUUAGACACCCUCGUAGUCCUUUCCUUAAACUCUGCAGACUUGGGAUCGGUCAGCGCUCUCUUUCCUGACUUGAUCGGCACCUCCCCCUUUUAUCGAGAAAUCAAAGUCUUUGUGUUCCGGGGGGAGUACAUUCGCAAGGCUGAAACUUAAAGGAAUUGACGGAGAACCACCACCAGUCGUGGAUUGUGUGGCUUAAUUCGACCCAACACGGGAAAUUUUAGCUGUAUAGGACAUGGGAAGGAUUGCCAAGUUAAAGCCUUUGCUUGAUUCCAUGAAGGGUGGUGCAUGGCCGCUUCUGGUUGGUGAAUGUGAUUUGUCUGCUUAAUUGCGAUAACGAACGAGAUCUCUGCCAAUUACUAGAUGCUGCUUUCGCUGUAGGUUGGAGUUGGGACGUUGGGUUUCGGCUCGCGGACCAGCUUCACCGAGAAGGCAGACGUUUACUUA
Molecule: ribosomal RNA, 1631 nt
Filed under: metagenome
Description: SSU rRNA
Rfam family: Eukaryotic small subunit ribosomal RNA
Source: RNAcentral